GAUCAUGGCUCAGGAUGAACGCUAGCUACAGGCUUAACACAUGCAAGUCGAGGGGAAACGAUAGAGAAAGCUUGCUUUUUCUAGGCGUCGACCGGCGCACGGGUGAGUAACGCGUAUCCAACCUGCCCAUCACUUGGGGAUAACCUUGCGAAAGUAAGACUAAUACCCAAUGAUAUCUCUAGAAGACAUCUGAAAGAGAUUAAAGAUUCAUCGCUGAUAGAUAGGCAUGCGUUCCAUUAGGCAGUUGGCGGGGUAACGGCCCACCAAACCGACGAUGGAUAGGGGUUCUGAGAGGAAGGUCCCCCACAUUGGUACUGAGACACGGACCAAACUCCUACGGGAGGCAGCAGUGAGGAAUAUUGGUCAAUGGGCGUAAGCCUGAACCAGCCAAGUCGCGUGAGGGAUGAAGGUUCUAUGGAUCGUAAACCUCUUUUAUAAGGGAAUAAAGUGUGGGACGUGUCCCGUUUUGUAUGUACCUUAUGAAUAAGGAUCGGCUAACUCCGUG
This 505-nucleotide ribosomal RNA is filed under the name uncultured bacterium. RNAcentral's name for it is "bacterial SSU rRNA". It matches the Rfam family "Bacterial small subunit ribosomal RNA", at positions 15 to 507 of the family's 1533-position model. The record is from RNAcentral.